UUUUCCCCCGAUUUCUUCUUCUUUUUUAUUCCCCGAUUUCUUCAGCUGCUGCUCUAUCCUACUCACUCCAUCUUCUUCCCUCCUCCAUCUGCAUCGCCGUCCCUGUCAACGAAGCACCGAACGAGACAAACAUUGUUGUCCCUGCAUCCGAGCAUAUCAUUAAUUUUCUAGGCGCGACAAAGGUGUAAUGCUUGGGCAGAUUUGGGGAAGCAAGAACUUCCGGUGUCUGGGCCGAUCUGGGGGAAAGAAUUUGAAAACUUAGGUGAUUGGGUGUCCAAAAACCAUUGAUGGUGACUUGAAAUGCAAAGAAUUCCCAACAUGUUUUGGGUUUGAUACUGCUUGCAAGAUAUAUGCAUAAAGGAUUGGAAAUGUCAUGAUAGAUGCCAGAUCAACUGGAAAAUAUUAUCACUUUGUGCGACUUAUGGGGCGUGCAGCUUCGCACAUAACACUUGAAUGUAUAUUGCUCUUAUGUCUUUAUUUUCACAAUCAAUGUUUAUCAUUAUAUGUGUGUCUGUUUUUUCAAAGAAUGCUAAGGAUUAAGAUUGUUCCAUACUUGAGAUUUUUUAUUUUUUUAAAAAAAUAUCUAGUGUUGGAAGAUUUUCCAUUGAUAUUAGAUCAGCCAUGUACAUUCAUAUCAGCCACAACUAUGAUAUCCUUGUUUCUGUUUUAGUUCUAGUUUCCUUAUUUUCUGUUUUAAUUCUAUUUUCCUUAUUUAGUUUAUUGUGUAUUAUAAUUUGAUAGGAUGAUGUUUUAUUUUGUUUCCAAUCUUAUGAAAAGUAAGAUCAAUUUUGAUUUCAGAGAAUUGAAUACCUGAUAGUCACCUAGGCUAUUUAUACGCCUCUCUUGACUUGGGAAUAUUCAGUAGUUUUCUUGUAUUAGAUAUUUGGUUUCUUGAUGUUUUAUCACACAUAUCAAGAAAGUGAGGAUUGUUUAUUGUAUAAAAUUGGAUAUUGGGAUUUUUUUUCCUAUUUGAAGAAAGGUUUUGAGGGUGUUUUGUUUUCUGAUUUUGCGAGGGUUUGGAUUUUCUGUUGUUUCAAGUAUGGCUUUUCCACACUAUUCUUGUAUGAUUUUUUUCGUUAAUACAAGUUUCUUUCUUUUUUAAUUUUCAUAUAAAAAAGAAAAUUAUAUUGUGUUGUUUCAGAGAUAAUCAGUUAUUCCAAAAAAUUUGGAUGGUGAAGUAAAUAUAGGAGCACAUUUGUUUAUUUAUUUUUUAUGGUAGUAUUACUUUCUAUCCUUUUUAUUUUUUAUUUUUAUUUUUCAUGAAGUAAAAAGGUUGUUCUGUAGAAUAUAUUUAAAUAGAAGAAACAUGAUUUUGAGUAGGCAAAUGCAGAGCCUGCAAAUGAUGAAGAUGUUGGCAGCAUAUAUGAGGUCUGUAAAAGUCAAAUACUCUUGCAAAUUACAUGCUGAUUCAACAGCCUUUUAAAUAAAUUCUCAAGGCUUAUUUUUUCAUGUACAUUUAAAAUAUACAAUUAAAUGAACAAAACAGAUGCAUAAAAAUAGACCAGCAUACCGAUGUUAGACAUAUUUUUUACUCGGGAAGGGUGAGAAAAUGAGUAUCAUUAUUAACACACCUUAAAAAAGUAAGGCAUAUAAAUGUUGAAAAGCUUUAUUCUCUUUUGUACUAAUGUGGGAGUGUUCUGUUUUCUGGAUUUUGGGAUUUCUCACCACUCUUGUAGACUAUAUCCUUACAUUGUUUUGCUGAAGUCUUGUGUGCGUUAGACUUAAGAGCCUGGAUCUACUUUAGUUUCAUUAGAUAAAUUGUUAUUAUUGAAAUAUGAGUAGACUAUUACUUAAAAGAGAUGAGCGCAGGUACUGCUAUAUAUAUCUUUCUUUAGGCCUGAUGGUAGCCUGGUAACCACAAGGACUGAUCCUAAGUUGUUGGAAAAUUGUGGUGGUGGAUAGAGGUUGGGCUUAUUGUCAUGUUGUAGAUUUGGAGUUUUAAUAACGUAAGUUUGGGAGAACUUUAAUUUUAUCAUUUGUGAUUGUGACAUUUUCUUGUGAUGGCCAUCAGUAGGAAACAAAUAGAAACCUCUGUUUCUUGACUGUUACAAGUUGAUAAAGUAUCUACUAAUCUAUCUGUAUGGCUUGAUGAAUAUGCUCUUGAAAUUUUUUGACAAUUUCUCCAUUUCAUUAGUUUGAAAUGGAGUCUAGUAUAUAGUCACAUUAACUUUGCAUGUACAUGACUAUUGCUUGAAUGAGACACCUAUACGAUGGCUAACUAGUAA
Long non-coding RNA from Humulus lupulus (European hop), 2225 nucleotides. RefSeq lists it as uncharacterized. The record is from RefSeq and is a predicted model, not a curated record. The transcript has 4 exons. NCBI's taxonomy places the organism in Eukaryota, Viridiplantae, Streptophyta, Magnoliopsida, Rosales, Cannabaceae.